This 2924-nucleotide ribosomal RNA is filed under the name Escherichia coli. RNAcentral describes it as "partial 23S ribosomal RNA". It matches the Rfam family "Bacterial large subunit ribosomal RNA". The record is from RNAcentral. Lineage: Bacteria; Pseudomonadati; Pseudomonadota; Gammaproteobacteria; Enterobacterales; Enterobacteriaceae.
GGGUUGUGAGGUUAAGCGACUAAGCGUACACGGUGGAUGCCCUGGCAGUCAGAGGCGAUGAAGGACGUGCUAAUCUGCGAUAAGCGUCGGUAAGGUGAUAUGAACCGUUAUAACCGGCGAUUUCCGAAUGGGGAAACCCAGUGUGUUUCGACACACUAUCAUUAACUGAAUCCAUAGGUUAAUGAGGCGAACCGGGGGAACUGAAACAUCUAAGUACCCCGAGGAAAAGAAAUCAACCGAGAUUCCCCCAGUAGCGGCGAGCGAACGGGGAGCAGCCCAGAGCCUGAAUCAGUGUGUGUGUUAGUGGAAGCGUCUGGAAAGGCGCGCGAUACAGGGUGACAGCCCCGUACACAAAAAUGCACAUGCUGUGAGCUCGAUGAGUAGGGCGGGACACGUGGUAUCCUGUCUGAAUAUGGGGGGACCAUCCUCCAAGGCUAAAUACUCCUGACUGACCGAUAGUGAACCAGUACCGUGAGGGAAAGGCGAAAAGAACCCCGGCGAGGGGAGUGAAAAAGAACCUGAAACCGUGUACGUACAAGCAGUGGGAGCACGCUUAGGCGUGUGACUGCGUACCUUUUGUAUAAUGGGUCAGCGACUUAUAUUCUGUAGCAAGGUUAACCGAAUAGGGGAGCCGAAGGGAAACCGAGUCUUAACUGGGCGUUAAGUUGCAGGGUAUAGACCCGAAACCCGGUGAUCUAGCCAUGGGCAGGUUGAAGGUUGGGUAACACUAACUGGAGGACCGAACCGACUAAUGUUGAAAAAUUAGCGGAUGACUUGUGGCUGGGGGUGAAAGGCCAAUCAAACCGGGAGAUAGCUGGUUCUCCCCGAAAGCUAUUUAGGUAGCGCCUCGUGAAUUCAUCUCCGGGGGUAGAGCACUGUUUCGGCAAGGGGGUCAUCCCGACUUACCAACCCGAUGCAAACUGCGAAUACCGGAGAAUGUUAUCACGGGAGACACACGGCGGGUGCUAACGUCCGUCGUGAAGAGGGAAACAACCCAGACCGCCAGCUAAGGUCCCAAAGUCAUGGUUAAGUGGGAAACGAUGUGGGAAGGCCCAGACAGCCAGGAUGUUGGCUUAGAAGCAGCCAUCAUUUAAAGAAAGCGUAAUAGCUCACUGGUCGAGUCGGCCUGCGCGGAAGAUGUAACGGGGCUAAACCAUGCACCGAAGCUGCGGCAGCGACACUGUGUGUUGUUGGGUAGGGGAGCGUUCUGUAAGCCUGUGAAGGUGUACUGUGAGGUAUGCUGGAGGUAUCAGAAGUGCGAAUGCUGACAUAAGUAACGAUAAAGCGGGUGAAAAGCCCGCUCGCCGGAAGACCAAGGGUUCCUGUCCAACGUUAAUCGGGGCAGGGUGAGUCGACCCCUAAGGCGAGGCCGAAAGGCGUAGUCGAUGGGAAACAGGUUAAUAUUCCUGUACUUGGUGUUACUGCGAAGGGGGGACGGAGAAGGCUAUGUUGGCCGGGCGACGGUUGUCCCGGUUUAAGCGUGUAGGCUGGUUUUCCAGGCAAAUCCGGAAAAUCAAGGCUGAGGCGUGAUGACGAGGCACUACGGUGCUGAAGCAACAAAUGCCCUGCUUCCAGGAAAAGCCUCUAAGCAUCAGGUAACAUCAAAUCGUACCCCAAACCGACACAGGUGGUCAGGUAGAGAAUACCAAGGCGCUUGAGAGAACUCGGGUGAAGGAACUAGGCAAAAUGGUGCCGUAACUUCGGGAGAAGGCACGCUGAUAUGUAGGUGAAGUCCCUCGCGGAUGGAGCUGAAAUCAGUCGAAGAUACCAGCUGGCUGCAACUGUUUAUUAAAAACACAGCACUGUGCAAACACGAAAGUGGACGUAUACGGUGUGACGCCUGCCCGGUGCCGGAAGGUUAAUUGAUGGGGUCAGCGCAAGCGAAGCUCUUGAUCGAAGCCCCGGUAAACGGCGGCCGUAACUAUAACGGUCCUAAGGUAGCGAAAUUCCUUGUCGGGUAAGUUCCGACCUGCACGAAUGGCGUAAUGAUGGCCAGGCUGUCUCCACCCGAGACUCAGUGAAAUUGAACUCGCUGUGAAGAUGCAGUGUACCCGCGGCAAGACGGAAAGACCCCGUGAACCUUUACUAUAGCUUGACACUGAACAUUGAGCCUUGAUGUGUAGGAUAGGUGGGAGGCUUAGAAGUGUGGACGCCAGUCUGCAUGGAGCCGACCUUGAAAUACCACCCUUUAAUGUUUGAUGUUCUAACGUUGACCCGUAAUCCGGGUUGCGGACAGUGUCUGGUGGGUAGUUUGACUGGGGCGGUCUCCUCCUAAAGAGUAACGGAGGAGCACGAAGGUUGGCUAAUCCUGGUCGGACAUCAGGAGGUUAGUGCAAUGGCAUAAGCCAGCUUGACUGCGAGCGUGACGGCGCGAGCAGGUGCGAAAGCAGGUCAUAGUGAUCCGGUGGUUCUGAAUGGAAGGGCCAUCGCUCAACGGAUAAAAGGUACUCCGGGGAUAACAGGCUGAUACCGCCCAAGAGUUCAUAUCGACGGCGGUGUUUGGCACCUCGAUGUCGGCUCAUCACAUCCUGGGGCUGAAGUAGGUCCCAAGGGUAUGGCUGUUCGCCAUUUAAAGUGGUACGCGAGCUGGGUUUAGAACGUCGUGAGACAGUUCGGUCCCUAUCUGCCGUGGGCGCUGGAGAACUGAGGGGGGCUGCUCCUAGUACGAGAGGACCGGAGUGGACGCAUCACUGGUGUUCGGGUUGUCAUGCCAAUGGCACUGCCCGGUAGCUAAAUGCGGAAGAGAUAAGUGCUGAAAGCAUCUAAGCACGAAACUUGCCCCGAGAUGAGUUCUCCCUGACUCCUUGAGAGUCCUGAAGGAACGUUGAAGACGACGACGUUGAUAGGCCGGGUGUGUAAGCGCAGCGAUGCGUUGAGCUAACCGGUACUAAUGAACCGUGAGGCUUAACCUUACAACGCCGAAG